UAACAUUGAAAGAGCUUUUUG
This 21-nucleotide non-coding RNA is filed under the name Caenorhabditis elegans. The record is from RNAcentral. Lineage: Eukaryota; Metazoa; Nematoda; Chromadorea; Rhabditida; Rhabditidae.